Molecule: ribosomal RNA, 626 nt
Filed under: uncultured bacterium
Lineage: Bacteria
Description: bacterial SSU rRNA
Rfam family: Bacterial small subunit ribosomal RNA
Source: RNAcentral
AAUCAACGCUGGCGGCGUGCCUAACACAUGCAAGUCGCACGAGAAAGGGCUUCGGCCUGAGUAAAGUGGCGCACGGGUGAGUAACACGUGACUUAUCUACCCUCGAGUGGGGAAUAACCUAGGGAAACCUGGGCUAAUACCGCAUAACACUUACGAGUCAAAGCAGCAAUGCGCUUGGGGAGGAGGUCGCGGCAGAUUAGUUAGUUGGUGGGGUAAUGGCCUACCAAGACGAUGAUCUGUAUCCGGCCUGAGAGGGCGCACGGACACACUGGAACUGAAACACGGUCCAGACUCCUACGGGAGGCAGCAGUGGGGAAUUUUGCGCAAUGGGGGAAACCCUGACGCAGCAACGCCGCGUGGAGGAUGAAGUCUCUUGGGACGUAAACUCCUUUCGACAGGGACGAUAAUGACGGUACCUGUAGAAGAAGCCCCGGCUAACUUCGUGCCAGCAGCCGCGGUAAUACGAGGGGGGCAAGCGUUGUUCGGAAUUAUUGGGCGUAAAGGGCGCGUAGGCGGUUUGGCAAGUUUCGUGUGAAAUCUUCGGGCUCAACUCGAAGUCUGCACGGAAAACUGCCGAGCUUGAGUAUGGGAGAGGUGAGUGGAAUUUCCGGUGUAGCGGUGAAAUG